This 373-nucleotide ribosomal RNA is filed under the name uncultured bacterium. RNAcentral's name for it is "bacterial SSU rRNA". It matches the Rfam family "Bacterial small subunit ribosomal RNA", at positions 525 to 896 of the family's 1533-position model. The record is from RNAcentral.
ACAGAGGUCUCAAGCGUUGUUCGGAAUCACUGGGCGUAAAGGGUGCGUAGGUGGCGUGGUAAGUCAGAUGUGAAAGCCCGGGGCUCAACCUCGGAAUUGCAUCCGAUACUACCAUGCUAGAGUACUGAAGAGGUGACUAGAAUUCUCGGUGUAGCAGUGAAAUGCGUAGAUAUCGAGAGGAAUACCAACGGCGAAGGCAGGUCACUGGGCAGUUACUGACACUGAGGCACGAAGGCCAGGGGAGCAAACGGGAUUAGAUACCCCGGUAGUCCUGGCAGUAAACGGUGCAUAUUUGGUGUGGGCGCAAUCGACCGCGUCCGCGCCGGAGCUAACGCGUUAAAUAUGCCGCCUGGGAAGUACGGUCGCAAGAUUA